RNAcentral lists this ribosomal RNA (253 nucleotides) under uncultured bacterium. RNAcentral describes it as "partial 16S ribosomal RNA". It matches the Rfam family "Bacterial small subunit ribosomal RNA", at positions 524 to 776 of the family's 1533-position model. The record is from RNAcentral.
UACGUAGGUGGCGAGCGUUGUCCGGAUUUACUGGGCGUAAAGGGAGCGUAGGCGGACUCUUAAGUGAGAUGUGAAAUACUCGGGCUCAACUUGAGUGCUGCAUUUCAAACUGGAAGUCUAGAGUGCAGGAGAGGAGAAUGGGAUUCCUAGUGUAGCGGUGAAAUGCGUAGAGAUUAGGAAGAACACCAGUGGCGAAGGCGAUUCUCUGGACUGUAACUGACGCUGAGGCUCGAAAGCGUGGGGAGCAAACAGG